This 865-nucleotide ribosomal RNA is filed under the name uncultured marine group I thaumarchaeote. Its description in RNAcentral is "SSU rRNA". It matches the Rfam family "Archaeal small subunit ribosomal RNA", at positions 27 to 901 of the family's 1478-position model. Lineage: Archaea; Thermoproteati; Nitrososphaerota. The record is from RNAcentral.
CUGCUAUCGGAUUGAUACUAAGCCAUGCGAGUCUUUGUAGUAAUACAAGGCAUACGGCUCAGUAACACGUAGUCAACCUACCCUAUGGACGAGAAUAAUCUCGGGAAACUGAGCAUAAUUCUUGAUAGAUCAUAAUGCCUGGAAUGGUUUAUGGUUAAAAUGAUUCGUCGCCAUAGGAUGGGACUGCGGCCUAUCAGUUUGUUGGUGAGGUAAUGGCCCACCAAGACUAUUACAGGUACGGGCUCUGAGAGGAGUAGCCCGGAGAUGGGUACUGAGACACGGACCCAGGCCCUAUGGGGCGCAGCAGGCGAGAAAACUUUGCAACGUGCGAAAGCACGACAAGGUUAAUCCGAGUGGUUUCUGCUAAAGGAACCUUUUGUUAGUCCUAAAAACACUAACGAAUAAGGGGUGGGCAAGUUCUGGUGUCAGCCGCCGCGGUAAAACCAGCACCUCAAGUGGUCAGGAUGAUUAUUGGGCCUAAAGCAUCCGUAGCCUGCUCUGUAAGUUUUCGGUUAAAUCUGUAUGCUCAACAUACAGGCCGCCGGGAAUACUGCAGAGCUAGGGAGUGGGAGAGGUAGACGGUACUCGGGAGGAAGUGGUAAAAUGCUUUGAUCUCUCGAUGACCACCUGUGGCGAAGGCGGUCUACCAGAACACGUCCGACGGUGAGGGAUGAAAGCUGGGGGAGCAAACCGGAUUAGAUACCCGGGUAGUCCCAGCCGUAAACUAUGCAAACUCAGUGAUGCAUUGGCUUGUGGCCAAUGCAGUGUUGCAGGGAAGCCGUUAAGUUUGCCGCCUGGGAAGUACGUACGCAAGUAUGAAACUUAAAGGAAUUGGCGGGGAGCACCACAAGGGUGAAGCUGCGGU